This 231-nucleotide ribosomal RNA is filed under the name uncultured bacterium. Its description in RNAcentral is "partial 16S ribosomal RNA". It matches the Rfam family "Bacterial small subunit ribosomal RNA", at positions 103 to 334 of the family's 1533-position model. The record is from RNAcentral.
CGGGUGAGUAACGCGUGGGUAACCUGCCUCACACAGGGGGAUAACAGUUGGAAACGGCCGCUAAUACCGCAUAAGCGCACAGUACCGCAUGGUACAGUGUGAAAAACUCCGGUGGUGUGAGAUGGACCCGCGUCUGAUUAGCUAGUUGGCAGGGCAACGGCCUACCAAGGCGACGAUCAGUAGCCGACCUGAGAGGGUGACCGGCCACAUUGGGACUGAGACACGGCCCAA